Molecule: long non-coding RNA, 147 nt
Organism: Lontra canadensis (Northern American river otter)
Lineage: Eukaryota; Metazoa; Chordata; Mammalia; Carnivora; Mustelidae
Exons: 3
Source: RefSeq, a predicted model, not a curated record
CCCCACCCAGCCUGAUGGGCCAGCGAUCUCCCCUGCCCAGGCUCUAGUCCUGGAGGGAGGCCGGCUCCCUGCAGGGCCACCCAGAGGAAGGAGAGGAGAUGGGUUCCGGGUCCACACUGGCCCAGGCUCCUACCCCAGACGUGUGGC